This is a long non-coding RNA of Lycium barbarum (goji berry), 2480 nucleotides long. RefSeq lists it as uncharacterized. The transcript has 6 exons. The record is from RefSeq and is a predicted model, not a curated record. NCBI's taxonomy places the organism in Eukaryota, Viridiplantae, Streptophyta, Magnoliopsida, Solanales, Solanaceae.
AUCUUUUAUUGGGUCAUUUUGUUUCCGGACUCCCAUUUUUCUUUCUUCAUUCUACUUCUUUCAGCUUCUCUUUUACUGUAUGUAUGCUAAUUUUGUUCUCUUUUUGCAUUAUUCUCUAUCCGGACUUCUUACAGAUUCUGAAUUUUAGAUACAUAGAUUUCACACCCUAAUCUUUCUCAGUACAUUCUACUGCUCAAGUUUAAGAAUUUCUUAAAUUUCUUCUACUUGAUAAUCAAGUCUUGAUCUAUCAGUUCUUCAAUAUUUCAAAGUGAGCUCUUGGAUUUGGCGUGGUAUAAUUUUUCUCAGUUUCGAGCAUUAUGAUACGCUUUCGCCAAGGUGUUUGAAGAUCUGUCUGACUCAUUUUAAAGAAAAAGAAAUUGGAUGCUUAAGGCCACAUUUCAUCAAGACCUCUUCAAAUUUGCUUUGUUAUCUGAUUAACAUUUCCCAUGAUGACUACACCUACGUGGCUUUGAGGUGAGUGUUUUACCUUUUCUUUAAGCUCUCUGUUACUUUUAAUAUAUAACGUGUGUCAUAUAUUUUUUGUGCUGUAAGAAUAUCUAUUGGCAAAGGAAAGCUUAACCUAAAGAAAUAUUGUUGGGUACACCGACAGCAGAUUCAAACUUUUGAGUAUAACCUUUAGACCAACCAAAAAGUUGGAAGGAAGUGCUAAAAAAGCUGAUACAAGAUCUAAAGAUGAGGUCUCCCUUCAAUCCUGCUAUGCUUAUUACAAGAAGUAAUUUUAUUAGUACGAGCAUUUUAAACUUUUCAGUGUUUUAAGCUUUUAGUAUAUUUCAGCUAUAUCUUAAGAUAUCCGUGCACUUCUGCACAUGGCCUUUUUUAGUUUGGUUGAAAUGGUAAUUCCAAAUUUCAUCCGGCAAAGAAUGUAUAAACUCCUCCACAAGCACUGUUUCAAUAUUCUUUUGUAGUUCAGACUAAACAAAUGACCUAUCACAAUACUGCUGAAAUUCAUGCGUCAUUUCAGGAAAUAAAUGUGAUCUUAGUUUCUGGUAAGUGCUCUUUCUAAUUAAAUGGCUGCCGAGACGCACUUUGAUAAUCUAUCUUUAUUUCGGAACUAUGGAGUUUCCCGAUGAAGCUUGGUCUAACUCAUAUUCUAUAAGGAGGAUCUUCACUUAGCAUUAGAGAAAAUUUAAUUAUGUGUUCUGUGUGUUGCUACAGGAUAAUUGAGACCAUAAUUGGCUGCAAUCGUGCCACUUUCUGUGCCAACAGAUUUGUGCUUCUCUCAAUUUUAGCUUCCAAUUUUCACUUUCUUUUUCCCAUGGUGCUUAUUAGUUCAAGAAAGAAUCUGUACUAUUUUCAUGACUUCUAAGAUUAGUUUGAAUUAGAAGAUCAUUGCAUUUGGACAAAAUUGUAUUUGAUUGGAAUGAGAUGAAGUUGUCAGGUUUAGAUUUUAAUAUCCUAGGGUGAAAAUAAUGUGUAGUAUUUUACUAUGAGCUAUAAGAGCAUACUCAGAAAGCAAUACUCAUUCAAUUAAUUUCUCACAACAGUUUUUCAAUAAAGGAACAAAACCAACAAUAUACCCCCUUCACACAGGGAUCUUAUAUUCCUUCCUAGCCUCUGCAUUCUUCCAUUUAAUCCUCACUCAAAUCAAAACUCCCCACACCCCCAAAGAGCAAGAAGGAGGUGAUGAUGUGAUUCCUUAUGUACCUGUGUCUGUAUCGCUUGACAAGUAUACCUAUUAAUCAGUUAACUCACUUAACUAAGCUUGCACUUCCAUUCAAACAUACAAUGACAUUAGACAGAGUAAUCUUACCUAUGUCCAAGAUAUCUAACAACUACAUUUCACAAUUGAAACAGGGUAAGCUGGUCGACUUAAAUCUGAUACGGCCAAAAGCUCUUCAAGAACUAUAUGAAUCCCAAAAAGUUGCUUUCAUUUUUAGUGUUUAUUUCUGAAGUAUUAUGUAAGAAGUGGAAAAUUGGUGUGGAGGUCCGUUGUUAACUUCGGAAGACAAUUUUUAUACGUGAGAGAUGAGAUUCCCGAAGUUGAAAAUGUACCCAUACAUGUGAAGGAUGUUCCACAAAAGUUGUUUGUUUAGUUUACAAGAAUCUUCACUAAAGGGGAUGAUAAAUGUGCAUCAAGUCGUACAUGUUUGGAAUAGGCAUGGAGAAGUCAUGCAGAACAAUGAUACCAUUUUCUCCAAGGUAUAGUUGCAAGUCAGUUGUGAGAGCUCAUAAACAGACUUUUAGAUCGAGUUGGAUGAAUGUGCAACUCUCCAAAAGCAUGCUUUGCAGGGUGGGAGAAAUGCAAGUCUAUUAAGGAACUGAAACGUAUUUGUAAGAAAUAAGAAUAUCAGUUUGCAUUGCAAGGGAUUUAUGAAAUCGGAAAACUUUUAAAUGUAUUUUUGAAGAAAAAUCUACUACUGUACAGUCUUUGAAGUUCACGUCUUAGUUUAUUAGAUCUCUGGUGUAAGUAACAUUUUAUAGUCAUGAAUAUAUAUAUAUAUGACAGAAUUUUUUUUGUA